This 76-nucleotide transfer RNA is filed under the name Halomonas sp. GFAJ-1. RNAcentral describes it as "tRNA-OTHER". Lineage: Bacteria; Pseudomonadati; Pseudomonadota; Gammaproteobacteria; Oceanospirillales; Halomonadaceae. The record is from RNAcentral.
GGGAAAGUAAAAGCACGCUACUAAAACCGGCCUCCGAAGCCGAAGGUCGCAGGUUCAAUUCCUGCCGGGCGCGCCA